UGUUUAUUUUUGAAAACAAAACUAGCACACAGGCUGGUCCCGGUUAGGUCCAAUAGGCCAGAUAAGCGCCGUCGCUAAUCCGGAACUAAGAAUCGCGGUCCAGUUGUACGGGACGCUUCAAGUUGCCGUACACCUCAGGUGGUAUGGGAACCAUGUGUAACGGUACGGAGAUAAGGGUCGCUCGGGAGGUGCCUGGGAACUCUUCACAUCCAAGGAGGCAGCGGGGGAAAAAUACCCCCUUUCAGGCCGAGGGGGUAUGACGGAAAAAUCAAGGGCGAUCGCUUUGCGAGCCCCGUCUGAAUAGGGGCACUAUAAACCCUCUAUGACGGAGCCUAUGAGAGAGCAAAUCUGUGGCCCCCAACCCGCCGGGAUUACCAGAUCUCUAAAAGUGCUUAGCCAUAGUGGUGCGGAUAAAAGAUCUUAGUUGGAUCUCUGUAACGUGAGAUGGGGUGCUCAUUGAGCGAUGUAUUUUUCUCGUAGCUCUCUUUUGUGGGUUCUUGGCAGUGUUCCUCACGGAGUCGGGUGGUGGCUGGCGAGUUUACUUUGAGAUAAUUAGAGUGCUCAAUACAGGCGUUUCGCUUGAAUAGUCUAGCAUGGAAUAAUGGAAUAGGAUUUCGGUUCUAUUUUAUUGGUUUUAUGGAUUGAAGUAAUGAUUAGUAGGAAUAAACGGGGGCAUUCGUAUUGUUACGUUAGAGGUGAAAUUCUGGGACCGUAGCGAGACGCAUCGACUGCGAAAGCAUUGCCAAGAAGUUUUCCAUUAUCAAGGAAGGGAAAGAUC
RNAcentral lists this ribosomal RNA (778 nucleotides) under Steinernema feltiae. Its description in RNAcentral is "SSU rRNA". It matches the Rfam family "Eukaryotic small subunit ribosomal RNA", at positions 202 to 992 of the family's 1831-position model. Lineage: Eukaryota; Metazoa; Nematoda; Chromadorea; Rhabditida; Steinernematidae. The record is from RNAcentral.